This 301-nucleotide ribosomal RNA is filed under the name uncultured bacterium. RNAcentral describes it as "partial 16S ribosomal RNA". It matches the Rfam family "Bacterial small subunit ribosomal RNA", at positions 509 to 807 of the family's 1533-position model. The record is from RNAcentral.
CAGUCGCCGCGGGAAUACGUAGGGUGCGAGCGUUAAUCGGAAUUACUGGGCGUAAAGCGUGCGCAGGCGGUUGUGUAAGACAGGUGUGAAAUCCCCGGGCUUAACCUGGGAACUGCGCUUGUGACUGCACAGCUAGAGUAUGGCAGAGGGGGGUGGAAUUCCACGUGUAGCAGUGAAAUGCGUAGAGAUGUGGAGGAACACCGAUGGCGAAGGUAGCCCCCUGGGCCAAUACUGACGCUCAUGCACGAAAGCGUGGGGAGCAAACAGGAUUAGAUACCCCCGUAGUCCCUGUCUCUUAUAC